CCAAAGUAAAGGAGUUAGUUAUGUUUGCUGCCUUACUGGAAGGAUCUUAAGAAAAGGAGCAGAAAUUGACAUAAGCCACUGAAGAGACCUCAGAAAAAACUGUGAAUGAUCCCUUGGUGUGAUACUUCCAUUGGCUCUUCUGACCCCAACCCUGGACUCGGACUCUGUGGCUCACAGAAGUGGGAAAGUCACUGAGAAUGGAGGUGUGGUUCCGAGGGAUUCUGGAUUGGGUUCUAAGCUUGUUUAAAAGGUUGACUUACUAAUGCUAUGGUGAUUGAUGUUUACUUCAAUACAUGACUCAGAAGGUUUGCCUGACAGCCCAGAAGGGCGAAGUCUUCUCUGUGGAGCACUUUCCAACUCCUAGGACAGCACCGGAAGUUUCUUGGGAACAGGUCAAUGGUAAAACGUGGAAGAGGACUAUGAGCACAUUGUGGGCAGAGCCAGUUAAUCAGUCAACAGAGAUCUCACCUUGGAGACAGAGGCAUGCAGGCAUGAUGGUGCAGAAAUAAAUGACUGAGAUUAUCUGGAGACAGAUGAGAAGAGAUGGGUAAUUUGAACAUAAUUGAUAUUUUCAGAUUUAAAAUUUUGAGAUUUGGGAUCAGUAUUCCAAAAUCUAGAAUAAGGGACCAGGUAGGUCUCUGUGUACUUUAUUAAGAUCACUGGUCGAGUACUAACAUGGGACAUUUGGAGGAGCGGUGGAAGGGGAAGCUGCACCAAAAAAAAAAAAAAAAAGAAAAGAAAAAAAAAAAGAGAGAGAAAAAAUGUCCCCAAAGAGUGAAUAUGAUUGUAGUAUUGAAUUUUUAUAAAACUGUGUAUAUAUGCAGAUGAGGCAUGUUUUUAAAAAAAUCAAUGAUUGUUAGAGCCAGAAAUAAAUGUAGGGAUUCUCAAAUAUAGAGAUUCUCUAAGUGUGGUGAGCCCUGGAAUCUCCUGGAGUUUGUAAAAAUCAUGUAGAUGCACAGAUUCUACCCCAGUGGCCAACACCCCUGCCCCCUCCCACAACCUAGGGGAUUCCAAAAUAUACAAAGACCCGAGAACACAUAUCUGUCCAGUUUCCUUAUUUUACAAAGGAGGAAACUGGCAUCCCAAAG
RNAcentral lists this long non-coding RNA (1088 nucleotides) under Heterocephalus glaber (naked mole-rat). RNAcentral describes it as "lncRNA (ENSHGLG00100051737.1)". Lineage: Eukaryota; Metazoa; Chordata; Mammalia; Rodentia; Bathyergidae. The record is from RNAcentral.